This 468-nucleotide ribosomal RNA is filed under the name uncultured bacterium. RNAcentral's name for it is "partial 16S ribosomal RNA". It matches the Rfam family "Bacterial small subunit ribosomal RNA", at positions 28 to 507 of the family's 1533-position model. The record is from RNAcentral.
GACGAACGCUGGCGGCGUGCUUAACACAUGCGAGUCGAACGGAAAGGCCCUGCUUUUGUGGGGUGCUCGAGUGGCGAACGGGUGAGUAACACGUGAGUAACCUGCCCUUGACUUUGGGAUAACUUCAGGAAACUGGGGCUAAUACCGGAUAGGAGCUCCUGCUGCAUGGUGGGGGUUGGAAAGUUUCGGCGGUUGGGGAUGGACUCGCGGCUUAUCAGCUUGUUGGUGGGGUAGUGGCUUACCAAGGCUUUGACGGGUAGCCGGCCUGAGAGGGUGACCGGCCACAUUGGGACUGAGAUACGGACCAGACUCCUACGGGAGGCAGCAGUGGGGAAUAUUGCACAAUGGGCGGAAGCCUGAUGCAGCAACGCCGCGUGCGGGAUGACGGCCUUCGGGUUGUAAACCGCUUUCGCCUGUGACGAAGCGUGAGUGACGGUAAUGGGUAAAGAAGCACCGGCUAACUACGUG